AUUGAAUGCUGGCGGCAGGCCUAACACAUGCAAGUCGAGCGGAUGAAGGGAGCUUGCUCCUGGAUUCAGCGGCGGACGGGUGAGUAAUGCCUAGGAAUCUGCCUGGUAGUGGGGGAUAACGUCCGGAAACGGGCGCUAAUACCGCAUACGUCCUGAGGGAGAAAGUGGGGGAUCUUCGGACCUCACGCUAUCAGAUGAGCCUAGGUCGGAUUAGCUAGUUGGUGGGGUAAAGGCCUACCAAGGCGACGAUCCGUAACUGGUCUGAGAGGAUGAUCAGUCACACUGGAACUGAGACACGGUCCAGACUCCUACGGGAGGCAGCAGUGGGGAAUAUUGGACAAUGGGCGAAAGCCUGAUCCAGCCAUGCCGCGUGUGUGAAGAAGGUCUUCGGAUUGUAAAGCACUUUAAGUUGGGAGGAAGGGCAGUAAGUUAAUACCUUGCUGUUUUGAGGUUACCAACAGAAUAAGCACCGGCUAACUUCGUG
This 484-nucleotide ribosomal RNA is filed under the name uncultured bacterium. Its description in RNAcentral is "partial 16S ribosomal RNA". It matches the Rfam family "Bacterial small subunit ribosomal RNA", at positions 30 to 507 of the family's 1533-position model. The record is from RNAcentral.